AGGAAUUGAAACUGGAAAUUACACCUCAAAUGCUUUGAAUGCUUAAACACUUAAAAUCUAAAAAUUAAUUUGCUCUGAACUCUGUAAAAUAUGGCGUCCUCUAAAACAGAGUUAGACUCUCUUAUUUAUAGGCGAACGUUUGCAACAACUUUUCCUCCAAUUCAUUCGGGAUUCAGUUGAGAAUCGUGUGGCGUAAGAGUAGGAAUGGAUGAUCGUG
Molecule: long non-coding RNA, 217 nt
Filed under: Trifolium pratense (red clover)
Lineage: Eukaryota; Viridiplantae; Streptophyta; Magnoliopsida; Fabales; Fabaceae
Description: long non-coding RNA (TPRA_LNC005953)
Source: RNAcentral